Molecule: unclassified non-coding RNA, 720 nt
Filed under: Hevea brasiliensis (rubber tree)
Lineage: Eukaryota; Viridiplantae; Streptophyta; Magnoliopsida; Malpighiales; Euphorbiaceae
Source: RNAcentral
GGAACAGUUAGCUGAUUAAUAUCGCCAGAAAUAAUGGGGUUUUUAUCAGUUUGAAGGAUUUUUCCAAUGAAAUCACAGUCUCGAAGAAGAUGAUCAACCAUAGUAUCGCUCUUAGUUUCCAAGCAUGACAAUAUAAUACUCUCCACAUGAUGAUGCAACGCAUUAUUGAAUGGGUACUCAAAGAACAAAUCAAGGAUCCGUUUAAUAGUUCCUGAACUGACCAAUUCCUUCUCAGUAGCUUCAUUCCCCGUUCUUAAUAGCACCGCAAUGAACUCAACAAUCUUUAAGCGAUGCUUCCCAAGAGGAGGCUUCAGUUCUCCAUAUGUUGUAGGUAAAAUUUUAUCGUCAGACAACACAUUUAAUAGCAUAAGUAAGUCACCAAGUUUAGGCAGCAUUGCAUCAAUAGUCUCUGGAUUUACAGGGAUUGAGGACUCAUAAAUUUGUUGACUUCGAAAAGAAUGCAGCAAGGGGGAAAAAGUUGCAGAUCUUUUAGGAUCCAGUAAAGAUAUACACACAGAAAGUGAGUGAACAAGUCCAGAUUUUGAAUGUGAAUCUUCCAAUGCAUGUCCAAAUAUCCUUGAAACAAAGCUUGGACUAGAGAGUUUAGUCGCCAAAGCUGAGGGAGCAUUUCGAGAUAUUGCACAUAAUGUUUCUGCUGCAUUCGCAUGAACUUCAGGAGGGCUAGAAGGAUUCAAUUUGUCCACAAUCAUUUCUAGCAAA